This 74-nucleotide transfer RNA is filed under the name Acidobacteriota bacterium. RNAcentral describes it as "Acidobacteria bacterium (bioreactor metagenome) tRNA-Glu". It matches the Rfam family "tRNA". Rfam says of the family: Transfer RNA (tRNA) molecules are approximately 80 nucleotides in length. Their secondary structure includes four short double-helical elements and three loops (D, anti-codon, and T loops). The record is from RNAcentral. Lineage: Bacteria; Pseudomonadati; Acidobacteriota.
AGGGCGUUGGUGUAGUUGGAGAACAUGCUCGGUUCUCAACCGGGAGAUCAUCGGUUCAAGUCCGAUACGCCCUG